GCGCGUUCCACAAUGGCGUCUUUGAGCAGCAGCGCGCGCUCCCGACCUCGGCAUUCCUAAACAAGGAGCCAUGACUUGUCAACAAAUACGACGACAGGACAGCGGAGAGCAGAGACCUCGCGCUGAGGCAGCAGGGGCACUACCGGUGCAGCAGCAAUUGCCACCGCGUAGCGUUCCUGCCUUCGACGACGCGGAGGAAUCUCUGUUUGUCUUUCCCCCGAAACUCUAUGCCUUAAGCGCUGCUGUGUCUGGAGCACCCGACCCGAGAUGUCUUCCGAUGCCACCUGCUUCCUGGUUGGUGGAUACGAAGUUGGCGCGACGAAGAAAAAGGUGUCUGUCAUGGCCGCCUCUUCAAUGACAACGAUGUUUGUCGACGCCGGCUGGCUGAAGAUUAAAGUUUUUGCUUGCAUAAGUGCUAAAUAAAAAUUUCUCAUCCUAUG
Molecule: long non-coding RNA, 440 nt
Organism: Dermacentor silvarum
Lineage: Eukaryota; Metazoa; Arthropoda; Arachnida; Ixodida; Ixodidae
Exons: 2
Source: RefSeq, a predicted model, not a curated record